This 2919-nucleotide ribosomal RNA is filed under the name Salmonella enterica. RNAcentral describes it as "bacterial LSU rRNA". It matches the Rfam family "Bacterial large subunit ribosomal RNA". Lineage: Bacteria; Pseudomonadati; Pseudomonadota; Gammaproteobacteria; Enterobacterales; Enterobacteriaceae. The record is from RNAcentral.
GGGUUGUGAGGUUAAGCGACUAAGCGUACACGGUGGAUGCCCUGGCAGUCAGAGGCGAUGAAGGACGUGCUAAUCUGCGAUAAGCGCCGGUAAGGUGAUAUGAACCGUUAUAACCGGCGAUUUCCGAAUGGGGAAACCCAGUGUGACUCGUCACACUAUCAUUAACUGAAUCCAUAGGUUAAUGAGGCGAACCGGGGGAACUGAAACAUCUAAGUACCCCGAGGAAAAGAAAUCAACCGAGAUUCCCCCAGUAGCGGCGAGCGAACGGGGAGGAGCCCAGAGCCUGAAUCAGCAUGUGUGUUAGUGGAAGCGUCUGGAAAGGCGCGCGAUACAGGGUGACAGCCCCGUACACAAAAGCGCAUAUGCUGUGAGCUCGAUGAGUAGGGCGGGACACGUGGUAUCCUGUCUGAAUAUGGGGGGACCAUCCUCCAAGGCUAAAUACUCCUGACUGACCGAUAGUGAACCAGUACCGUGAGGGAAAGGCGAAAAGAACCCCGGCGAGGGGAGUGAAAAAGAACCUGAAACCGUGUACGUACAAGCAGUGGGAGCACCCUUUUGGGUGUGACUGCGUACCUUUUGUAUAAUGGGUCAGCGACUUAUAUUCUGUAGCAAGGUUAACCGAAUAGGGGAGCCGGAGGGAAACCGAGUCUUAAUUGGGCGUUAAGUUGCAGGGUAUAGACCCGAAACCCGGUGAUCUAGCCAUGGGCAGGUUGAAGGUUGGGUAACACUAACUGGAGGACCGAACCGACUAAUGUUGAAAAAUUAGCGGAUGACCUGUGGCUGGGGGUGAAAGGCCAAUCAAACCGGGAGAUAGCUGGUUCUCCCCGAAAGCUAUUUAGGUAGCGCCUCGUGAAUUCAUCUCCGGGGGUAGAGCACUGUUUCGGCUAGGGGGCCAUCCCGGCUUACCAACCCGAUGCAAACUGCGAAUACCGGAGAAUGUUAUCACGGGAGACACACGGCGGGUGCUAACGUCCGUCGUGAAGAGGGAAACAACCCAGACCGCCAGCUAAGGUCCCAAAGUCAUGGUUAAGUGGGAAACGAUGUGGGAAGGCCCAGACAGCCAGGAUGUUGGCUUAGAAGCAGCCAUCAUUUAAAGAAAGCGUAAUAGCUCACUGGUCGAGUCGGCCUGCGCGGAAGAUGUAACGGGGCUAAACCAUGCACCGAAGCUGCGGCAGCGACGCUUAUGCGUUGUUGGGUAGGGGAGCGUUCUGUAAGCCUGUGAAGGUGGCCUGUGAGGGUUGCUGGAGGUAUCAGAAGUGCGAAUGCUGACAUAAGUAACGAUAAAGCGGGUGAAAAGCCCGCUCGCCGGAAGACCAAGGGUUCCUGUCCAACGUUAAUCGGGGCAGGGUGAGUCGACCCUAAGGCGAGGCCGAAAGGCGUAGUCGAUGGGAAACGGGUUAAUAUUCCCGUACUUGGUGUUACUGCGAAGGGGACGGAGAAGGCUAUGUUGGCCGGGCGACGGUUGUCCCGGUUUAAGCGUGUAGGUGUGUGUUCCGUAAAUCCGGUUCACUUUAACACUGAGGCGUGACGACGAGGCACUACGGUGCUGAAGCAACAAAUGCCCUGCUUCCGUGAAAGCCUCUAAGCAUCAGGUAACACGAAAUCGUACCCCAAACCGACACAGGUGGUCAGGUAGAGAAUACCAAGGCGCUUGAGAGAACUCGGGUGAAGGAACUAGGCAAAAUGGUGCCGUAACUUCGGGAGAAGGCACGCUGACAUGUAGGUGAAGUGAUUUACUCAUGGAGCUGAAGUCAGUCGAAGAUACCAGCUGGCUGCAACUGUUUAUUAAAAACACAGCACUGUGCAAACACGAAAGUGGACGUAUACGGUGUGACGCCUGCCCGGUGCCGGAAGGUUAAUUGAUGGGGUCAGCGCAAGCGAAGCUCCUGAUCGAAGCCCCGGUAAACGGCACGUAACUAUAACGGUCCUAAGGUAGCGAAAUUCCUUGUCGGGUAAGUUCCGACCUGCACGAAUGGCGUAAUGAUGGCCAGGCUGUCUCCACCCGAGACUCAGUGAAAUUGAACUCGCUGUGAAGAUGCAGUGUACCCGCGGCAAGACGGAAAGACCCCGUGAACCUUUACUAUAGCUUGACACUGAACAUUGAGCCUUGAUGUGUAGGAUAGGUGGGAGGCUUUGAAGUGUGGACGCCAGUCUGCAUGGAGCCGGCCUUGAAAUACCACCCUUUAAUGUUUGAUGUUCUAACGUGGACCCGUGAUCCGGGUUGCGGACAGUGUCUGGUGGGUAGUUUGACUGGGGCGGUCUCCUCCUAAAGAGUAACGGAGGAGCACGAAGGUUGGCUAAUCCUGGUCGGACAUCAGGAGGUUAGUGCAAUGGCAUAAGCCAGCUUGACUGCGAGCGUGACGGCGCGAGCAGGUGCGAAAGCAGGUCAUAGUGAUCCGGUGGUUCUGAAUGGAAGGGCCAUCGCUCAACGGAUAAAAGGUACUCCGGGGAUAACAGGCUGAUACCGCCCAAGAGUUCAUAUCGACGGCGGUGUUUGGCACCUCGAUGUCGGCUCAUCACAUCCUGGGGCUGAAGUAGGUCCCAAGGGUAUGGCUGUUCGCCAUUUAAAGUGGUACGCGAGCUGGGUUUAGAACGUCGUGAGACAGUUCGGUCCCUAUCUGCCGUGGGCGCUGGAGAACUGAGGGGGGCUGCUCCUAGUACGAGAGGACCGGAGUGGACGCAUCACUGGUGUUCGGGUUGUCAUGCCAAUGGCACUGCCCGGUAGCUAAAUGCGGAAGAGAUAAGUGCUGAAAGCAUCUAAGCACGAAACUUGCCCCGAGAUGAGUUCUCCCUGAGACUUUAGGUCUCCUGAAGGAACGUUGAAGACGACGACGUUGAUAGGCCGGGUGUGUAAGCGCAGCGAUGCGUUGAGCUAACCGGUACUAAUGAACCGUGAGGCUUAACCUUACAACGCCGAAG